AAGUCUUACCAUAACUUCAGUAGGAACAAAAAUGGUUUGUGCUCUUUCAGGCAAUGACUGUGCAGUGCAGCGACCAGGGCAGGCCUGUCCCUUGGGACAGGGGAGGAGCGCUCCAUGCGCUCUGCCCCCCGGCCCAUGGUGAGCCUCCUGAUUGAUGUUUGGAACGUUAUUGGCAUGCUAUAUCUGGAUAAUGAAUAUACUUCAACCAGUUGUUUUCUUUAGAUUGGAUCAGCAAUGUGCAGAGCAGAAGUGUGGCGAACAGCCAGUAGUGAUCCAAAAGGUAAUAAUGGGAGAUGAGAGGAAUAAAGUCAGGAUUAGCUCAAAGGAACAAAACCAUUGAGAGCGUUAAAAUAACAGAAUGAAAGAAUGGAGGAAAUCACGCUCUUGAAUUUAAAAAAAAAAAAAAAGGAGUUUAAAAAACCUACUUGCUCUGCUGGGAGGACUGGCAUUUUCAUAGACUUCUGUGAUGGAAUCAUGAAGCCUUCUGAUAUUGUUAGGGUUUAUGGAAAAAAUACAAAAUCAGUCGUGUUGAAAUAGAAAUCAUUAGGUGUGCAGCUCCUUGUUCUUUUUACUACUGAGAUUCUUACGUGGUUGCUGCCAUCUGGACGUGCCCCUUGUUGGUGUCAGAACAAGGUGGUGGUGAUAGUGAGGUCAGGCUGUUCAUCCGGGAUGUCUGUGCAGGGAAUCGUUGUCAGCCCUCGGCUGACACC
Long non-coding RNA from Strigops habroptila (Kakapo), 710 nucleotides. RefSeq lists it as uncharacterized. NCBI's taxonomy places the organism in Eukaryota, Metazoa, Chordata, Aves, Psittaciformes, Psittacidae. The record is from RefSeq and is a predicted model, not a curated record. The transcript is spliced from 2 exons.